CAGGUUNCUGGGCAGUUACUGACGCUGAGGAGCGAAAGCAUGGGGGGCGAACAGGAUUAGAUACCNUGGUAGUCCAUGCUGUAAANCGGUGGGCGCUAGGUGUGGGCUGUGUGUUUGCAGUCUGUGCUGUAGCUAACGCAUUAAGCGCCCCGCCUGGGGAGUACGGCCGCAAGGCUAAAACUCAAAGGAAUUGACGGGGGCCCGCACAAGCGGCGGAGCAUGUGGAUUAAUUCGAUGCAACGCGAAGAACCUUACCUGGGUUUGACAUGCACCAGAUCGGCGUAGAGAUACGUCCUCCCUUGUGGUUGGUGCACAGGUGGUGCAUGGUUGUCGUCAGCUCGUGUCGUGAGAUGUUGGGUUAAGUCCCGCAACNNNNNNANNNNNNNNUCUUAUGUUGCCAGCACAUUUUUGGUGGGGACUCAUGAGAAACUGCCGGGGUCAACUCGGAGGAAGGUGGGGAUGACGUCAAAUCAUCAUGCCCUUUAUACCCAGGGCUUCACACAUGCUACAAUGGUCGGUACAACGGGUUGCGACACUGUGAAGUGAAGCUAAUCUCUUAAAGCCGGCCUCAGUUCGGAUUGGGGUCUGCAACUCGACCCCAUG
This 603-nucleotide ribosomal RNA is filed under the name uncultured bacterium. RNAcentral's name for it is "partial 16S ribosomal RNA". It matches the Rfam family "Bacterial small subunit ribosomal RNA", at positions 722 to 1322 of the family's 1533-position model. The record is from RNAcentral.